Molecule: long non-coding RNA, 291 nt
Organism: Larimichthys crocea (large yellow croaker)
Lineage: Eukaryota; Metazoa; Chordata; Actinopteri; Sciaenidae
Exons: 2
Source: RefSeq, a predicted model, not a curated record
GUUGUAAGCGACGCUUAGUGUUAAAGGGACAGCCUCACGCUCUUUAUCAAUGCCAAACCUUUUACUGGCAGCACCUGCAAAAGUAGCACACGUUAGACUGUUAAUACAUAUAUAAAUGUGUGUGUGUGUGUGUGUGUGUGUGUGUGCAUGUGUGUGUCCUCUCACCUCGGCUUGGUAGAGCUGCAACAGGACCGGCUGGUCUGCAUGUCUACAGUAAUAAAGCACCAAGUCGGCCAGCAGGGGGAGACUCUCCACGUUACCGCGACUCACAGAGACGUCUCCGUCUUUACA